This 803-nucleotide long non-coding RNA is filed under the name Mus spicilegus (steppe mouse). RNAcentral describes it as "lncRNA (ENSMSIG00000014014.1)". Lineage: Eukaryota; Metazoa; Chordata; Mammalia; Rodentia; Muridae. The record is from RNAcentral.
CUGGGAACCAGAGGCAGAAAGCAGCCUGGCUUUACGGAGGAAUUUAAGGGGCAGGAAGGGGGGGGCAUGUGGUUUGCUCCUCUUAGAGAAAAAUAUAUGUGACAGCUGCUGGCGUGUGAGCAGAGGCAGAGCGGAGGAGCAGUCCGGGACACGGUACAUACGUGUGACACGGUACAUACGUGUGUGUGGUGCUGGUCCUGACUCUACUAAUGACAAGCAAGGGCUGAAGGUCUUCACAGCUUCAAAGAGGGCAGUGUCUCCAUCCAUGAGGCUUCCAGAUGCUGCCCCCCCCACCCCCCGCUGACCUGCACACUGUCUGUCCCCUCUUGGAUCUCUCUGACCUUCAGACACACAGCCAUCGAGUGGCCCACUGGACAAGAGCCAGGAUGCCAGGCACUAAAGCCCCCAUUUGCAAAGUGGAAGCAGCCCAGUGAUCCCUUGAAGGUCCUGCGCUCUCCUCAGCUGGCCUGCUUCAUUUUAACUCGGUGUCUGCCAUCCGGGCCUUCCACCGACUGCUUCCUGCUCGCUCCUCACUGUCCUCCUUUGUCUCCCGCCCUGUCUGAUACCGACAUCUCCCUCAGUUAUACCUCAGAACCAGUUCCCAGGGAGAUAGCACGGAAGGGUACAGCCUUGGGGAAGCCGUGAAGACAGGAGAGCGCUGCCCCCUUGAACGGGGUAGCAUCCCUCUAACAAAGGCUGAGGAAGCUCCUUCCGGGGGAGGACAGGACAAGAGCGUCCCUCCAUGAGGCCUUCAAAUUCUGCUGGUGUCUUGAUCUUGGACUUGCUCGCGCUCAGAACUAGAG